UAGCCUUUUUCUUAAUGGUAGAGUACUUACUUGAUAAGUAAGAGGUGUUAGUUCAAUUCUAGCAAGGCUUA
RNAcentral lists this transfer RNA (71 nucleotides) under Diddensiella santjacobensis. Its description in RNAcentral is "tRNA-Ile". It matches the Rfam family "tRNA". From Rfam's summary of the family: Transfer RNA (tRNA) molecules are approximately 80 nucleotides in length. Lineage: Eukaryota; Fungi; Ascomycota; Dipodascomycetes; Dipodascales; Trichomonascaceae. The record is from RNAcentral.